AUCCUUGCAAUUAAACCACUACUUUUCAAUACUACUUGCAUCACAAUUCCUAAUGGUCAUAACCUGCUCCGAUACCACUUUAACUGUCACACCCCUGAUCUAGAAUAUAAAUUAAAAUAAAUUUUUAGAGAUAUGAGCAGCCAUCGCACACCUACAAAGUACCGUCUCUAUAGGCAUGUAAGGCAUUCAACCUGACAAAAAUUCAAUAUGAUAUGAAAGAUAACAUACUCAUUGCAUAGGUAGCGGUGUAACAGAACAAUUACUCUCUAUUUUAUAG
RNAcentral lists this long non-coding RNA (277 nucleotides) under Elaeis guineensis (African oil palm). Its description in RNAcentral is "long non-coding RNA (EGUI_LNC075217)". The record is from RNAcentral. Lineage: Eukaryota; Viridiplantae; Streptophyta; Magnoliopsida; Arecales; Arecaceae.